UACGAAUCGUCCAAACGUUGUUCGGAUUCACUGGGUUUAAAGGGCGCGUAGGCGGUGCGUUAAGUCGGCGGUGAAAUACUUCGGCUCAACCGAAGAAUUGCCGCUGAAACUGGCGUGCUGGAGGGAGGUAGAGGUGUGUGGAACUUCCGGUGGAGUGGUGAAAUACGUUGAUAUCGGAAGGAACACCUGUGGCGAAAGCGAUGCACUGGACCUCUUCUGACGCUGAGGCGCGAAAGCUAGGGUAGCGAACGGG
This 253-nucleotide ribosomal RNA is filed under the name uncultured Gemmata sp. Its description in RNAcentral is "partial 16S ribosomal RNA". It matches the Rfam family "Bacterial small subunit ribosomal RNA", at positions 524 to 776 of the family's 1533-position model. The record is from RNAcentral. Lineage: Bacteria; Pseudomonadati; Planctomycetota; Planctomycetia; Gemmatales; Gemmataceae.